UGCAGUCGAGCGGACUGAUGGGAGCUUGCUCCCUGAAGUCAGCGGCGGACGGGUGAGUAACACGUGGGUAACCUGCCUGUAAGACUGGGAUAACUCCGGGAAACCGGGGCUAAUACCGGAUAGGUCUUUUCCUCGCAUGAGGAAGAGUGGAAAGGCGGCUUCGGCUGCCACUUACAGAUGGACCCGCGGCGCAUUAGCUAGUUGGUGAGGUAACGGCUCACCAAGGCGACGAUGCGUAGCCGACCUGAGAGGGUGAUCGGCCACACUGGGACUGAGACACGGCCCAGACUCCUACGGGAGGCAGCAGUAGGGAAUCUUCCGCAAUGGACGAAAGUCUGACGGAGCAACGCCGCGUGAGUGAUGAAGGUUUUCGGAUCGUAAAGCUCUGUUGUUAGGGAAGAACAAGUGCCGUUCGAAUAGGGCGGCACCUUGACGGUACCUAACCAGAAAGCCACGGCUAACUACGUGCCAGCAGCCGCGGUAAUACGUAGGUGGCAAGCGUUGUCCGGAAUUAUUGGGCGUAAAGCGCGCGCAGGCGGUCUCUUAAGUCUGAUGUGAAAGCCCACGGCUCAACCGUGGAGGGUCAUUGGAAACUGGGGGACUUGAGUACAGAAGAGGAAAGUGGAAUUCCACGUGUAGCGGUGAAAUGCGUAGAUAUGUGGAGGAACACCAGUGGCGAAGGCGACUUUCUGGUCUGUAACUGACGCUGAGGCGCGAA
RNAcentral lists this ribosomal RNA (718 nucleotides) under Bacillus sp. (in: firmicutes). RNAcentral describes it as "bacterial SSU rRNA". It matches the Rfam family "Bacterial small subunit ribosomal RNA", at positions 56 to 757 of the family's 1533-position model. Lineage: Bacteria; Bacillati; Bacillota; Bacilli; Caryophanales; Bacillaceae. The record is from RNAcentral.